GGUGUGCCUGGGCGGGGGGAUGGUUGCCCCUCCUUUAUGUCAAAAUGAAUCUCGGCAACGGAUAUUUCGGCUCUCGCAUCCAUGAAAAACGUAACGAAAUGGGAUACUUGGUGUGAAUUGGAAAAUCCCGUGGAACAUCCAGUCUUUGAAUGCCAAUUGGGCCCAAAGCCCUUCG
This 175-nucleotide ribosomal RNA is filed under the name Pseuderanthemum atropurpureum. Its description in RNAcentral is "5.8S ribosomal RNA". The stretch from base 47 to 175 matches the Rfam family "5.8S ribosomal RNA", at positions 1 to 128 of the family's 154-position model. From Rfam's summary of the family: 5.8S ribosomal RNA (5.8S rRNA) is a component of the large subunit of the eukaryotic ribosome. It is transcribed by RNA polymerase I as part of the 45S precursor that also contains 18S and 28S rRNA. Functionally, it is thought that 5.8S rRNA may be involved in ribosome translocation. Lineage: Eukaryota; Viridiplantae; Streptophyta; Magnoliopsida; Lamiales; Acanthaceae. The record is from RNAcentral.